AAAAAAAAAGGUUUGAGGCCGAAAGGUGUUCCAGGGAGAAAGAGCAGGUGCAAAGGUGAGGGGUUCCAAGAAAGCAAAGUCCAGGGCCCUCAGGUGGAGACUCCCAGGGGCCUGGACCCUGAGGUCCGAGAGGUGGACCGGUGGGAGCGGGAGCCAACAAGCGCAGCACAGGGGAAAGGCCUGUUUGCCCAGGAAUCGGUAAGGAAUCUGGAAGGCUCUCCAAAGUGCCCGGGGCACCACUGAGUAACUGCAACGACCCUGGGAUCCCCCACCGAGCAGUGACUGGCCUCUCACCAGGGCAGCCCCCAAGUUUCCAAGAAACUCGUGUCCCGGACUGUAAUCCCCUGGUUUCUCCCCUGGUGGAAACACCCAGACAGACAAGGGCUGCCCAGAGGAGGAGCUGGGUAUAAUGCCCUUGGGACAAGGCCCGGCACCCGGUGGGAUCUCAAGACACCAGUCGGAACAGGUUAGGGCCCGUCCCAAUGACCUCAUUUCAACGCGAUCACCUCUGUAACAGCCUUAGCUGCAAGUGCGGUACUGAGGCGCUGGGACUUAGAGCUUCAACAUUCCAGUUUGGGGAGUACACCGUUCAGCCCAUCACCGCUGGAGCUCAGAAAACAUCCUUAUUUAGUUGAGUUCAACAAAUGCCUUCCCUACGCCAGCAGUGUAACCUAGUCUCUUAGCAUGUGUUAA
This is a long non-coding RNA of Phyllostomus hastatus (greater spear-nosed bat), 693 nucleotides long. RefSeq lists it as uncharacterized. NCBI's taxonomy places the organism in Eukaryota, Metazoa, Chordata, Mammalia, Chiroptera, Phyllostomidae. The transcript has 3 exons. The record is from RefSeq and is a predicted model, not a curated record.